UCCUUCAUAGUUCAAUCUUUAUUCAUGUGUUGGGGGAAAGCACAGAAAAGCACAUGUUUUCUUUAAGUAGAACGAUAAUCUCUCAAUUAAGUAAAAUAAUAACACACAAUGAGAAGGUAAAAAAACUAAUGAAACAAAACAAACUCAAGAUGAGAAACCCUAAUAACAAAAGUGAAAUAUAAUAUUCAAUCAUUGGGUGGGUUUUGGUUGAUGAGCGAGACCAAGCUCGUCGUCAUAUUGCACUUCCUGUCCACUCCCAUGAGAUCCACGACCUACUCGACGACUCUUCGUGAUCGUUAUGCAGUCGUAUAUCAUACCUAUAACUAAUAUAGAGCAUAUAACGCUGAUGGAGACGAUGAGGACGAUCAGUCCGGGUUCCAUGAUCAACAACAAACUGGGGAUCUAAUGCUUUAUUGAUUGUUUCUCGUCUGGUAUGUCUU
RNAcentral lists this long non-coding RNA (440 nucleotides) under Brassica napus (rape). RNAcentral's name for it is "long non-coding RNA (BNAP_LNC020615)". The record is from RNAcentral. Lineage: Eukaryota; Viridiplantae; Streptophyta; Magnoliopsida; Brassicales; Brassicaceae.